UGAAGAGGCCUUCAUUACUGGGACUGUUUUUAGGAAAAGUAACUGGUAUUGCACUUUAAGAAUACUUUUGCACUGUAAACUUGCACCUUAAUUAGCACUUUGUUUUGCACAGCACUUUAAGCAUGACUUUGCACAGAAAUAACCAUUUGCACACAAGAAGUUUUAACUAUUUAUUGAAUAUUUAUUGGAUAUUUUAAUAAUUAGCAUGUAGCCUUUUGUUCAGGUUCUGCACAGCUGCUCCUCAUUGGGAAAUGGUGUGGGCUCUGUGAAAAGAAGAAUUGUUAUUUAGAGCUAAGGUCUACUGUCAGGAAACUUAAGCAAAUGGUGGUGUAGAAUCUGUGAGAAGUGUGAGACUAAACAAAGUGUUAGAAGUUGGUGACUUACCUGUUUUCUAUGUCCUCUCCAGGGUGUUUGGACAAAUGCUUCCCCGGGGGUCCAGACACCAUUUAUAGGUUCCGGGAGAGACCAUGGGAAAAGCAGGGGGGAACUUUUGCACAUUUGUUUUAAGGGGUUUUUAGGUGUGGGUUUAAAAGAUAAAAUAUUUAUAAAAAUAGGUGGGAAUGUGUAUGUGUAUUUGUAUUAUGUAAAUAUUGUAUUUUAUAGGUAAAGUUAAUAGUAAAUUGUUUAGUGCAGAAUGGUUUGACCCUUAAUCAGCAGAGGGUAUUUAAGGCAGUGAUUGUGUCUGUAAAACGAGUUGGUUGGAGGUUGGUUGUUAGUUGGUUGGCAGAGUGAAUGCUGCUACCAACAAAUAAAUGUAUUGCUGCUUCCACAUACUGCCACUUUGUCAUCAUUCCUGCUGAAACUCCAGCCUCAAAAGGCCACGAACCGACAAGUGGUGUCAGGAGUGGGAUUUGCCACGCUCAGUGGGAAAAUGAUGACGAGAGGUGGAAAAAA
Molecule: long non-coding RNA, 894 nt
Organism: Fundulus heteroclitus (mummichog)
Lineage: Eukaryota; Metazoa; Chordata; Actinopteri; Cyprinodontiformes; Fundulidae
Exons: 2
Source: RefSeq, a predicted model, not a curated record